RNAcentral lists this ribosomal RNA (253 nucleotides) under uncultured bacterium. RNAcentral describes it as "partial 16S ribosomal RNA". It matches the Rfam family "Bacterial small subunit ribosomal RNA", at positions 524 to 776 of the family's 1533-position model. The record is from RNAcentral.
UACGUAGGUGGCGAGCGUUGUCCGGAUUUACUGGGCGUAAAGAGCGCGCAGGCGGCCUGAUCAGUCGAAUGUGAAAGCCCCCGGCUUAACUGGGGAGGGUCAUUCGAUACUGUCAGGCUCGAAGGCAGGAGAGGGAAGCGGAAUUCCCGGUGUAGUGGUGAAAUGCGUAGAUAUCGGGAGGAACACCAGUGGCGAAGGCGGCUUUCUGGCCUGUUCUUGACGCUGAGGCGCGAAAGCCAGGGGAGCGAACGGG